AGAAGGGUAGUCUAACCAAGAUAGUUGAUUUCGACUCAACAGAUUACAGCUCACAUCCUGUACCCUUCUA
Molecule: transfer RNA, 70 nt
Filed under: Pellorneum malaccense (short-tailed babbler)
Lineage: Eukaryota; Metazoa; Chordata; Aves; Passeriformes; Pellorneidae
Description: tRNA-Arg
Rfam family: tRNA
About the family: Transfer RNA (tRNA) molecules are approximately 80 nucleotides in length. Their secondary structure includes four short double-helical elements and three loops (D, anti-codon, and T loops).
Source: RNAcentral